Molecule: ribosomal RNA, 497 nt
Filed under: uncultured bacterium
Lineage: Bacteria
Description: partial 16S ribosomal RNA
Rfam family: Bacterial small subunit ribosomal RNA
Source: RNAcentral
GAUGAACGCUGGCGGCGUGCCUAAUACAUGCGAGUCGAGCGAACAGACGAGGAGCUUGCUCCUUCGACGUUAGCGGCGGACGGGUGAGUAACACGUAGGUAACCUACCUAUAAGACUGGGAUAACUUCGGGAAACCGGAGCUAAUACCGGAUAAUAUUUCGAACCGCAUGGUUCGAUAGUGAAAGAUGGCUUUGCUAUCACUUAUAGAUGGACCUGCGCCGUAUUAGCUAGUUGGUAAGGUAACGGCUUACCAAGGCAACGAUACGUAGCCGACCUGAGAGGGUGAUCGGCCACACUGGAACUGAGACACGGUCCAGACGCCUACGGGAGGCAGCAGUAGGGAAUCUUCCGCAAUGGGCGAAAGCCUGACGGAGCAACGCCGCGUGAGUGAUGAAGGUCUUCGGAUCGUAAAACUCUGUUAUUAGGGAAGAACAAACGUGUAAGUAACUGUGCACGUCUUGACGGUACCUAAUCAGAAAGCCACGGCUAACUACGUG